UACGAAGGGGGCUAGCGUUGCUCGGAAUUACUGGGCGUAAAGGGCGCGUAGGCGGCCAUUUAAGUCGGGGGUGAAAGCCCAGGGCUCAACCCUGGAAUUGCCUUCGAUACUGGAUGUCUUGAGUUCGGGAGAGGUGAGUGGAAUGCCGAGUGUAGAGGUGAAAUUCGUAGAUAUUCGGAAGAACACCAGUGGCGAAGGCGACUGACUGGACAGAUAUUGACGCUGAGGUGCGAAAGCGUGGGGAGCAAACAGG
This 253-nucleotide ribosomal RNA is filed under the name uncultured bacterium. RNAcentral's name for it is "partial 16S ribosomal RNA". It matches the Rfam family "Bacterial small subunit ribosomal RNA", at positions 524 to 776 of the family's 1533-position model. The record is from RNAcentral.